AGAGUUUGAUCAUGGCUCAGAGCGAACGCUGGCGGCAGGCUUAACACAUGCAAGUCGAGCGGGCCCUUCGGGGUCAGCGGCAGACGGGUGAGUAACACGUGGGAACGUACCCUUUGGUUCGGAAUAACGCUGGGAAACUAGCGCUAAUACCGGAUACGCCCUUUUGGGGAAAGGCUUGCUGCCGAAGGAUCGGCCCGCGUCUGAUUAGCUAGUUGGUGGGGUAAUGGCCUACCAAGGCGACGAUCAGUAGCUGGUCUGAGAGGAUGAUCAGCCACACUGGGACUGAGACACGGCCCAGACUCCUACGGGAGGCAGCAGUGGGGAAUAUUGGACAAUGGGCGCAAGCCUGAUCCAGCCAUGCCGCGUGAGUGAUGAAGGCCUUAGGGUUGUAAAGCUCUUUUGUCCGGGACGAUAAUGACGGUACCGGAAGAAUAAGCCCCGGCUAACUUCGUGCCAGCAGCCGCGGUAAUACGAAGGGGGCUAGCGUUGCUCGGAAUCACUGGGCGUAAAAGGGCGCGUAGGCGGCCAUUCAAGUCGGGGGUGAAAGCCUGUGGCUCAACCACAGAAUUGCCUUCGAUACUGUUUGGCUUGAGUUUGGUAGAGGUUGGUGGAACUGCGAGUGUAGAGGUGAAAUUCGUAGAUAUUCGCAAGAACACCAGUGGCGAAGGCGGCCAACUGGACCAACACUGACGCUGAGGCGCGAAAGCGUGGGGAGCAAACAGGAUUAGAUACCCUAGUAGUCC
This 743-nucleotide ribosomal RNA is filed under the name uncultured bacterium. RNAcentral's name for it is "bacterial SSU rRNA". It matches the Rfam family "Bacterial small subunit ribosomal RNA", at positions 8 to 796 of the family's 1533-position model. The record is from RNAcentral.